UGCGGGGUGGUGCAAUGGUAGCACGCCGGACUCUGGAUCCGGUAAUGAAGGUUCGAAUCCUUCCCCCGCAGCCA
This 74-nucleotide transfer RNA is filed under the name Candidatus Berkelbacteria bacterium. Its description in RNAcentral is "tRNA-Gln". It matches the Rfam family "tRNA". From Rfam's summary of the family: Transfer RNA (tRNA) molecules are approximately 80 nucleotides in length. Their secondary structure includes four short double-helical elements and three loops (D, anti-codon, and T loops). Lineage: Bacteria; Candidatus Berkelbacteria. The record is from RNAcentral.